RNAcentral lists this long non-coding RNA (1723 nucleotides) under Gossypium barbadense (sea-island cotton). RNAcentral describes it as "long non-coding RNA (GBAR_LNC008756)". Lineage: Eukaryota; Viridiplantae; Streptophyta; Magnoliopsida; Malvales; Malvaceae. The record is from RNAcentral.
CUACUGCACGUUGCAAGCAAAACCAGGGAAAAGGGCAGGCCUUCUCUUCCCUUUUCCUUUGGCUGGGGUUUUGAAUCCCCAAAUGCCACUGACACUAAACCGGAGCCCGACCGACGAAAGUCAAUCCACGAAGGUAAGUAUUCCUUUCUUUAUUCCCUUAUUUCCGUAUAUAUACAAAGAAAACAAAACGAAAAUGAAAUUAAAAGCUAGAAAUAUAAAAAUAGGAAUUUACCCAAAAGAAAUCUCUAACCUAAUUUCCUUCUGAUAUUGUAUUCGAAAUUUUUUUCUAUUUCUUGCUUGGAUCGUGCCUUUACACCCAAAAAAACUCUCUGCUCCUCUUCUUUUACAUAUGAUUUUCGGCUUUAUAUAGCCUUUGUUUACAAUGUUUUUUGUUACUUGUUUUGCAAAUCUGUGCGAGAAUCUCGGAGCCGUGAUGGAGUGGGACGUCGACGUGGCAUGGUGGAGCGAUGUGCGGCGCGCGUGGUGGCUACCGGUGAGAGACAUGCGGCGUUGAAACUAUUUGGGGAUGCUGUUCUUAUUUUUGUUGUUAGGGGUUUUUGGGUAGUUUAGUUUAGUUGGGCUGAAUAAAAUUGGGCUGGGUUUUGUUUUAGUGGUUAAUUUGUUUAGGCCUAGGUUUGUUUAAAAAUUUGGUCCUACAGCUGUCCCUCUUUGCUCAUUGUCGUGUAAUGAGAAUAGAGUAAAGAUUUUAGGAAGACCAAAUUUGUUUGGGCUGGCUGAGUCUUGUCUUUUUUGUCACAGCCCACCGCACUUUAUUGCUUCAAAAAUGCUCUUUUGUUGCUUCAUGUAAAUGAGAUUUGCUGAAAUUUGAUCUGCUCCGCUCCUGCUCAGCGAAGAUAAGAUUCGCUGUAUCUGACUUGCUCUACUCUUGUUCAACGGAGAUAAGAUCUGAUAUAUUUAGCCUGCUUCACUCCUGCUCAGUGAAGAUAAGGCUGAUGAUUAGAAUCUGCUCCAUCAUCAGUACGUGAAGAUUCACCAAAAUUCGAUCUGCUCUGCUCUUGCUCAACGAAGAUAAGAUCUGCUAUAUUUAACCUGCUUCACUCCUGCUCAGUGAAGAUAAGGCUGAUGAUUGGAAUCUGCUCCAUCGCCAGUACGUGGAGAUAAGAUUCGCCAAAAUUCGAUCUGCUCCGCUCCUGCUCAGCGAAGAUAAGAUCUGCUAUAUUUAGCCUGCUUCACUCCUGCUCAGUGAAGAUAAGGCUGAUGAUUGGAAUCUGUUAUAUGUAGGACCAAAUUUAUGCCCGGGACCAAUAAGCAGAGCCCAGAACACCAACCAUCCAAUUAGCACCCACUAAACUGACCACUAACUCCUAAACUACCCCACUAAGCCACCCCACUAACUCCAUCACCCUACUAAGCUACCCCACUAACUCUAUUACCCUACUUGUCACCAUGGAAGGAGGCAAUCAAUUGUAAAAUUUGGCUAUAAAAGCCAUUCAAAACUAUUGUAAAGGGGGUUGGUUUUUGGAGAUUAAUCAAAGAUCAAAGCAAAAGAGUUUUUUUUUUGUCUAUUCUUGUUUUAAGUUAUUUGUUUGUCUAUUUUUUCAUUUCAAUUUUAUUUUAUUUUUUUUAUACGAAAGUAAAAAUAAAGGGACGAAACUUACCCAUUUUAAAAUUACCGAAAAAGGAUUUUUUUGAGGUUCGGCUGCCGUGUACGGUGGCGCCGAUAGUGGCUCAUGGGGGUUUGGUGACCGGAGCAAGGUCGGAC